AUUGAACGCUGGCGGCAUGCCUUACACAUGCAAGUCGAACGGCAGCAUGGAGAGCUUGCUCUCUGAUGGCGAGUGGCGAACGGGUGAGUAAUGCAUCGGAACGUACCGUGUAAUGGGGGAUAACGUAGCGAAAGUUACGCUAAUACCGCAUACGACCUGAGGGUGAAAGCAGGGGAUCGCAAGACCUCGCGUUAUACGAGCGGCCGAUGUCAGAUUAGCUAGUUGGUGAGGUAAAGGCUCACCAAGGCGACGAGCUGUAGCGGGUCUGAGAGGAGGACCCGCCACACUGGAAGUGAGACACGGCCCAGACUCCUGCGGGAGGCAGCAGUGGGGAAUUUUGGACAAUGGGGGCAACCCUGAUCCAGCCAUGCCGCGUGAGUGAAGAAGGCCUUCGGGUUGUAAGGCUCUUUCGGCCGGGAAGAAAUCGCACAGGCUAAUACUCUGUGUGGAUGACGGUACCGGCAUAAGAAGCACCGGCUAACUACGUGCCAGCAGCCGCCGUAA
This 504-nucleotide ribosomal RNA is filed under the name uncultured bacterium. Its description in RNAcentral is "partial 16S ribosomal RNA". It matches the Rfam family "Bacterial small subunit ribosomal RNA", at positions 29 to 523 of the family's 1533-position model. The record is from RNAcentral.